This 520-nucleotide ribosomal RNA is filed under the name uncultured Glomus. RNAcentral's name for it is "SSU rRNA". It matches the Rfam family "Eukaryotic small subunit ribosomal RNA", at positions 569 to 1085 of the family's 1831-position model. The record is from RNAcentral. Lineage: Eukaryota; Fungi; Glomeromycota; Glomeromycetes; Glomerales; Glomeraceae.
AGCAGCCGCGGUAAUUCCAGCUCCAAUAGCGUAUAUUAAAGUUGUUGCAGUUAAAAAGCUCGUAGUUGAAUUUCGGGAUCAAUUAAUCGGUCGUGCCUCUGGUACGCACUGGUUUUAUUGGUUUCUCCCUUCUGACGAACCAGGAUGUCAUUAAUUUGGUGUCUUGGAGAAUCAGGACUGUUACUUUGAAAAAAUUAGAGUGUUUAAAGCAGGCUUCUAGGCAUGAAUACAUUAGCAUGGAAUAAUGAAAUAGGACGUUUGAUCCUAUUUUGUUGGUUUCUAGGAUCGACGUAAUGAUUAAUAGGGAUAGUUGGGGGCAUUAGUAUUCAAUUGUCAGAGGUGAAAUUCUUGGAUUUAUUGAAGACUAACUAUUGCGAAAGCAUUUGCCAAGGAUGUUUUCAUUAAUCAAGAACGAAAGUUAGGGGAUCGAAGACGAUCAGAUACCGUCGUAGUCUUAACCAUAAACUAUGCCGACUAGGGAUCGGAUGAUGUUAAAUUUUUUUAAUGUACUCAUUCGGCG